This 206-nucleotide ribosomal RNA is filed under the name Klebsiella pneumoniae. RNAcentral's name for it is "partial 23S ribosomal RNA". Lineage: Bacteria; Pseudomonadati; Pseudomonadota; Gammaproteobacteria; Enterobacterales; Enterobacteriaceae. The record is from RNAcentral.
GAAAAGCUAUUUAGGUAGCGUCCUCGUGAAAUUCAAUCUUCGGGGUAGAGCACUGUUUCGCUAGGGGUCAUCCCGACUUAACCAAACCCGAUGCAAACUUUCUCCCCGAAAAGCUAUUUAGGUAGCGUCCUCGUGAAAUUCAAUCUUCGGGGUAGAGCACUGUUUCGCUAGGGGUCAUCCCGACUUAACCAAACCCGAUGCAAACU